Molecule: ribosomal RNA, 254 nt
Filed under: uncultured bacterium
Lineage: Bacteria
Description: partial 16S ribosomal RNA
Rfam family: Bacterial small subunit ribosomal RNA
Source: RNAcentral
UACGGGGGGGGUAAGCGUUGUUCGGAAUUACUGGGCGUAAAGGGCGCGUAGGCGGCCAUCUAAGUCAGACGUGAAAUCCCCCGGCUUAACCUGGGAACUGCGUCUGAUACUGGACGGCUAGAGUAUGGGAGAGGGAUGUAGAAUUCCAGGUGUAGCGGUGAAAUGCGUAGAUAUCUGGAGGAAUACCGGUGGCGAAGGCGGCAUCCUGGACCAUUUACUGACGCUGAGGCGCGAAAGCUAGGGGAGCAAACGGG